This 434-nucleotide ribosomal RNA is filed under the name uncultured Lachnospiraceae bacterium. Its description in RNAcentral is "bacterial SSU rRNA". It matches the Rfam family "Bacterial small subunit ribosomal RNA", at positions 341 to 792 of the family's 1533-position model. Lineage: Bacteria; Bacillati; Bacillota; Clostridia; Lachnospirales; Lachnospiraceae. The record is from RNAcentral.
ACGGAAGGCAGCAGUGGGGAAUAUUGCACAAUGGGGGAAACCCUGAUGCAGCGACGCCGCGUGAGUGAAGAAGUAUUUCGGUAUGUAAAGCUCUAUCAGCAGGGAAGAUAAUGACAGUACCUGACUAAGAAGCUCCGGCUAAAUACGUGCCAGCAGCCGCGGUAAUACGUAUGGAGCAAGCGUUAUCCGGAUUUACUGGGUGUAAAGGGAGCGUAGACGGUAUGGCAAGUCAGAUGUGAAAGCCCGGGGCUCAACCCCGGAACUGCAUUUGAAACUGUCAGACUAGAGUGCUGGAGAGGUAAGUGGAAUUCCUAGUGUAGCGGUGAAAUGCGUAGAUAUUAGGAGGAACACCAGUGGCGAAGGCGGCUUACUGGACAGUAACUGACGUUGAGGCUCGAAAGCGUGGGGAGCAAACAGGAUUAGAUACCCUGGUA